Anolis carolinensis (green anole) is the source of this 2054-nucleotide long non-coding RNA. RefSeq lists it as uncharacterized. Lineage: Eukaryota; Metazoa; Chordata; Lepidosauria; Squamata; Anolidae. The record is from RefSeq and is a predicted model, not a curated record. The transcript has 2 exons.
GUAAGGCUUCCUUUUCUGGAUCUCUUUGAGAAGCCCCCAAAAAGCUUUCUGACAGCUUUUCCUGUGAAGCACCUGAUUUUUCUUUAUGCAAACUGGUUGUUGAUGAAAUCUCCGUCAUGUCAGUAGAUUGCACGGAACAGUACAGCUGCACAGGAACAAAAGAAACAGUGAAACGAAAGGCAGAGCCGUUUGGUCAGCCAGGUCCUGGCUUGCAGGGCCUUCAGCGAAGCACUGGGCAUUCGAUGCUUGAAGACACUGGAAAAUUACGGUGCUCAGAGUUGGCAGUUUUUAAUUUUCUAUCCAUCACUUUUGCUGUAUAAAAGCUAGAGAAAGUGCAGCCACUAGCAUGGUACACCUUUGAUCUUAGGUGGGCAAUGUGGAAGACUGGGGAGGGGUGUAUCAAUCCUCCAGGUGAAUUUGGGGGGCUGUCCCUAUUCCUGAAAAACAAACUUUUUUUUUACCCUGAAGCGCUCUCUAUGGAGCGGAAAGACAUAUUUCUGAGCUUUUCUGGAUCCAGAGAGGCCAUUUGGGACAUUUGAAGGUGAAGAUUUUGGGGGGAAAACUGCAAAUUUUAAUUUUGACCCAUGGGGUUUAGGGGGACUCCAGAUAUGUAGAAAUGCCCUCCACAUCCCGGAUAUCAUUCUUUAGAAUGUUAAAGAUAAAUAGAUAUUCUCUCUCUCUCUCUCUCUCUCUCUCUCUCUCUCUCUCUCUCUCUCUAUAUAUAUAUAUAUAUAUAUAUAUAGCAGUUAUGCACAGUAUUUAGGCACUGUGAUUUGCGUAUUCAAGAUCCCUCUGUAAUUUCUAUAAAGUCUCAUGUCUGCUGCCAUUUCCACCCUCUUCCAUGAGCGAUCACCAAUGGAACGAGGUUUCCCUUCAUGCUGGAGAUUGCUUGUGUGAAAGGGGGUGGGUGGAAACAGCAGCCAGAUGUUUUCUGAACAAUGGGAACAGAGCCCCAUCAAUCAUAGCAGCAUCUUCCCAGUAAGUGCGUAUUAGGGGACUUUCACAGUCCCUAUAUACAGCUUUUAAACUAAAAGCUAUAUAAGCAUCAUGAAUAUGGAAAAGUAAUGAGCAUGUAACUCCAGGUUACACAUUUGUGGCUGCUACAUAAAUUCAGGGCAUUAUUUAUAUUUUGUCUUCAACAAGAUAAACUUACCCUUUGAGUUGAUGUGGACUACUGAUUCCAAUAUGUUUGAGACAUACUACUGCCAAGGUUUUUUUUUAAAGAAGAUCCCUUACAGAGGUACAGUAUAUUAAUUUCUGCUUGUGUGGUAAGAGCAUACUCAAGAACAUCAUAUUACCUGGUAGAGGAUUCUAGUUCCCUUGUGUGCUUUUUUAGCAAAAAGAUGGAGGCAUAAAUGUUGUAGAUCAGCCUGAGACUGAUGUUUUAGAGAGGAUUGUGGGAUUUCAGUCAAGGGAAUGAUGCUUCUGUCAAUAGAAAGCUGGCUGGGAAAGUGCAGGCCUUCAAGGUCAGGUAGAACAGCCAGAGACAUUACAUAAGGAGGAGUCGAGCAGAGAAUUGAGUGAUACAGAAGCCUCCCAGGAAAAAACACCUGGAGAUACAGAAAUCAACACAGGCCUUUGUUUACAGAUCAGAGCAGACAAUAGGCAUUGCAGGGCAUAACGUUUGUGUGGGAAAGUUGGGGAAAGAUUCAAGGGAGAUGAAAUGCUUUCAUGGGUGGCUUUAAUUGGCAUGUUGUGUACUUUCAAGUUAGUUCAGACAAGUUGCAUAUGAAGCUAGGCCUGAGUUUCUGGUUCAUAUUUCAAGUCAAGCCUUUUGGUUUUGGGAUUCAAGUAUCUUGGGAGUUUCUUUGUUCCUGUUUUUUAUUCAUGAUCAAGUUUUACUAAGGAUACUUUUUGAUUGUGGACUUAAGCUGUUCUUGUGAUUUUUGGCUAUUUCUGUACUAUAUUACCUUUGAAUCUGUUUGAGACAUGUGGAUUUCUAUUGGAUUUUUGCUUAUUGCCAAACCUUUUGGAUAUACCCUUUCUUUCUCAAUUCCUGCAUUUUUCCUAUGCUUUUACUUUUGAUAUAUUUUACAAUAAACUGUUUGCCUAUA